This 69-nucleotide transfer RNA is filed under the name Marmota marmota marmota (Alpine marmot). It matches the Rfam family "tRNA". From Rfam's summary of the family: Transfer RNA (tRNA) molecules are approximately 80 nucleotides in length. Their secondary structure includes four short double-helical elements and three loops (D, anti-codon, and T loops). The record is from Rfam by way of RNAcentral. Lineage: Eukaryota; Metazoa; Chordata; Mammalia; Rodentia; Sciuridae. RNAcentral also lists the same sequence under 4 other names.
GGGGUUGUAGCUCAGUGGUAGAGCACUUGCCUCUCAUGUGAGAGGCACUGGGUUCAAUUCUCAGCACCA